Molecule: RNA transcript, 2015 nt
Organism: Argiope bruennichi
Lineage: Eukaryota; Metazoa; Arthropoda; Arachnida; Araneae; Araneidae
Exons: 18
Source: RefSeq, a predicted model, not a curated record
UGAACCAUUGAUAUUGUCGAUUUUCUUCAAUGCUUGAAGGAAUGGCCGCCAAUCCAACCCUACUAAAUUGUAAAGCUCAUUUUAUAGCUAUUUCUUGUUGUAGACCCAUUGAAGUUCAAUUUUUUAAAGAAAUGGAAUAAACUCCCCCAAUACCUGAGGUUUUUGGUCUUUAAAUGCUGUUAAAAAUCUUCAAUCUCUAAAAAAAAAAAGCGAUAUUUUAAUACUGAAGGCAAAAAGAAAUGACAUUUUUUUCCCCUAAAAAUGUAAAUCAACUACUUGCAAGUACAAAAAUACACUGUUUAUUCAAUCAUAUCUGUAUGUGAAGGCCCCCCUGUUGUAAAUAAAUCAAGUUUUCCAUUUCGCGGUUUGUUUGCGGAAUUCGUUUAUCCGUUGGUUGUCGCGCUAAACAGGUCGCAUAUUCCCAUUCUCAACACUAUUUCAAGUAUGGAAGAAAAUAGGGCAAUAUCAUUGGUUUGCACCGUAGCGCACUCUGUUAAGAGUGUAUGACGUCAUUGUAUGCGAACUUGGAAAUAGUUUCAGUUCGUAUUGCUCGGACUAUACGUAAGAAUUUCUGAAAAGCGGAUUUAUCUUUGGGCUUUAUUGUGUGAUUCCUCUCUAUAUUUUUUUUACCUUUUGUUUCCGGAUUAAAUGGAUUUAUCUGAGCAUAUUACUAUAACAGCCGAGAAUUUGUCUUCGAAUUUCGAAAAUGAAAACAAUGAAAUAAUUUAGUAGCUAAAACUUCAAAUUCAUGGAUGAUAUCAACGAAUGGAUAAAAGAAUUUUGAAAAUCAACUAAAGUGUUUUUUAUUGGCAUUGUUGCCGGAAGAGAUUUGUAUGGGGACAUUCAAUAAGGUGCCAUUUACACAGAAGAAGGGAAUGAAUAAGAAGGGAAUUUUUAAAAAAAAUGCUGAAUGCCUUCCCUUUUUUAUGAUGAAGAUAAAACUAAAUACUACACACAUGAGAACUUAAGAUGAUUUUCUAAAAGUGUGUAAUAAAGAAAUGGACAUAAAACCGUCGGUCAUAGGAUGUGGGCAGCCAAUUCCUGCCCGUGGAUCAAACCUCCGCAGACAGUCUCAAAUGCCGAGUAAUAAUCAAAUUGUUAUCUCCAAUGUUUUCCAACCUUUUGGAGUAGAUUAUGAAUGGGAAAGAAAUUUAGAUUUGGCUGCUGAUGUCUGUGUCUAUACAGAGGAUGAUUCGGAUUCUGAACUAUAUGAGGGCGUUAACGAAGAACCAGCCAUUCCGAUGAUAUUGAACUCCGCCGGUAAUGAAGAAAGCCCAGACAUUGAAACUUUUUAUCCCUGCGGCUGUGAAACAAGACUAAAUUUGUGCAGUGAAAUGGAGUUAAACUGCCAGCGAGCAUUUGGAUUGAUGAAGAUUUUAGAAAUCGCAGAGUAUGCCGCAAAGAGAGCUACAAUUAUCGAAAAUGAGAACAGAGAUAAUGGAGUUAGUAAUUUAACCGGAUGCAGUUUGGAAAGACACCUACGUGCAAACCUGUGGUUGGGUAACGUCUGCCCUAAUAACAGAUGCUUAAAACGCUUCCAAGUGAGUGUUUCCCAGUUUCUGGCUGGAAAAUGUGAACAAUAACUUCUAAAAGCUGUCUAAUUCUUUUCCAUGACAUUGUGCCUGGAUUUCAGGAAUGAGAUGUGCUAUCUUCAGUACUACAAUAAUCUUCAUACAAGAUGGUGCUCUGCUCCAUGUUGCAAGUUCAGAGGAGGCAUUCCAUUUGUGUAUUUUUGGUAAAGAACGAAUGAUAUGUAGAUUCUGUAGAAGCAAGUGCUCUCCCUUUUUCCCCUGUCAUCAAUUGUAGUUUUUCCGGUAGAUUUGUAGCUGGGUGUCAAUUAAAAACCUUGUGUAACAUUACUGUCUUAUCACAAUGAUAAAUGUAGGCAGGCAGGACUUGGAUGAAAUCUACCAGAUAUGCUACACUUAUCUAUCACAGCGAUUAUUCAACUAGCUGAGCGUUUAGCAAUUAGAGCUAAAAAAUCUGCUGAAAGAAGAAUCACUACGAUAAGACGU